Molecule: ribosomal RNA, 489 nt
Filed under: uncultured bacterium
Lineage: Bacteria
Description: partial 16S ribosomal RNA
Rfam family: Bacterial small subunit ribosomal RNA
Source: RNAcentral
AUUGAACGCUGGCGGCAGGCCUAACACAUGCAAGUCGAACGGUAACAGGAAGAAGCUUGCUUCUUUGCUGACGAGUGGCGGACGGUGAGUAAUGUCUGGGAAACUGCCUGAUGGAGGGGGAUAACUACUGGAAACGGUAGCUAAUACCGCAUAACGUCGCAAGACCAAAGAGGGGGACCUUCGGGCCUCUUGCCAUCGGAUGUGCCCAGAUGGGAUUAGCUAGUAGGUGGGGUAACGGCUCACCUAGGCGACGAUCCCUAGCUGGUCUGAGAGGAUGACCAGCCACACUGGAACUGAGACACGGUCCAGACUCCUACGGGAGGCAGCAGUGGGGAAUAUUGCACAAUGGGCGCAAGCCUGAUGCAGCCAUGCCGCGUGUAUGAAGAAGGCCUUCGGGUUGUAAAGUACUUUCAGCGGGGAGGAAGGGAGUAAAGUUAAUACCUUUGCUCAUUGACGUUACCCGCAGAAGAAGCACCGGCUAACUCCGUG